GAUGAACGCUGGCGGCGUGCCUAAUACAUGCAAGUCGAGCGAACAGACGAGGAGCUUGCUCCUCUGACGUUAGCGGCGGACGGGUGAGUAACACGUGGAUAACCUACCUAUAAGACUGGGAUAACUUCGGGAAACCGGAGCUAAUACCGGAUAAUAUAUUGAACCGCAUGGUUCAAUAGUGAAAGACGGUUUUGCUGUCACUUAUAGAUGGAUCCGCGCCGCAUUAGCUAGUUGGUAAGGUAACGGCUUACCAAGGCAACGAUGCGUAGCCGACCUGAGAGGGUGAUCGGCCACACUGGAACUGAGACACGGUCCAGACUCCUACGGGAGGCAGCAGUAGGGAAUCUUCCGCAAUGGGCGAAAGCCUGACGGAGCAACGCCGCGUGAGUGAUGAAGGUCUUCGGAUCGUAAAACUCUGUUAUUAGGGAAGAACAAAUGUGUAAGUAACCAUGCACGUCUUGGCGGUACCUAAUCAGAAAGCCACGGCUAACUACGUG
RNAcentral lists this ribosomal RNA (497 nucleotides) under uncultured bacterium. Its description in RNAcentral is "partial 16S ribosomal RNA". It matches the Rfam family "Bacterial small subunit ribosomal RNA", at positions 28 to 507 of the family's 1533-position model. The record is from RNAcentral.